UACGGAAGGGGCUAGCGAUGGUCGGAAUUACUGGGCGUAAAGAGCGCGUAGGCGGCUUACCAAGUUGGGGGUGAAAUCCCGGAGCUCAACUCCGGAACUGCCUUCAAAACUGGUAGGCUCGAGUCCGGAAGAGGGGCGUGGAAUUCCCAGUGUAGAGGUGAAAUUCGUAGAUAUUGGGAAGAACACCGGUGGCGAAGGCGGCGCCCUGGUCCGGUACUGACGCUGAGGCGCGAAAGCGUGGGGAGCAAAUAGG
RNAcentral lists this ribosomal RNA (253 nucleotides) under uncultured bacterium. RNAcentral's name for it is "partial 16S ribosomal RNA". It matches the Rfam family "Bacterial small subunit ribosomal RNA", at positions 524 to 776 of the family's 1533-position model. The record is from RNAcentral.